AACGAACGCUGGCGGCAUGCCUAACACAUGCAAGUCGAACGAGACCUUCGGGUCUAGUGGCGCACGGGUGCGUAACGCGUGGGAACCUGCCCUUAGGUUCGGAAUAACUCCCCGAAAGGGGUGCUAAUACCGGAUAAUGUCUUCGGACCAAAGAUUUAUCGCCUUUGGAUGGGCCCGCGUUGGAUUAGCUAGUUGGUAGGGUAAAAGCCUACCAAGGCGACGAUCCAUAGCUGGUCUGAGAGGAUGAUCAGCCACACUGGGACUGAGACACGGCCCAGACUCCUACGGGAGGCAGCGGUGGGGAAUAUUGGACGAUGGGCGAAAGCCUGAUCCAGCAAUGCCGCGUGAGUGAUGAAGGCCUUAGGGUUGUAAAGCUCUUUUACCCGGGAUGAUAAUGACAGUACCGGGAGAAUAAGCUCCGGCUAACUCCGUG
RNAcentral lists this ribosomal RNA (433 nucleotides) under uncultured bacterium. Its description in RNAcentral is "partial 16S ribosomal RNA". It matches the Rfam family "Bacterial small subunit ribosomal RNA", at positions 29 to 507 of the family's 1533-position model. The record is from RNAcentral.